Molecule: unclassified non-coding RNA, 343 nt
Filed under: soil metagenome
Description: partial contains 5.8S ribosomal RNA, internal transcribed spacer 2, and large subunit ribosomal RNA
Rfam family: 5.8S ribosomal RNA (bases 1-120)
Source: RNAcentral
GAUGAAGAACGCAGCGAAAUGCGAUAAGUAAUGUGAAUUGCAGAAUUCAGUGGAUCAUCGAAUCUUUGAACGCACAUUGCGCCCGCUAGUAUUCUGGCGGGCAUGCCUGUCCGAGCGUCAUUUCAACCCUCAAGCCCCCGGGCUUGGUGUUGGGGAUCGGCGAGCCUCCGCGCCCGCCGUCCCCUAAAUCUAGUGGCGGUCUCGCUGUAGCUUCCUCUGCGUAGUAGCACACCUCGCACUGGGAAACAGCGCGGCCACGCCGUUAAACCCCCAACUUCUGAACGUUUGACCUCGGAUCAGGUAGGAAUACCCGCUGAACUUAAGCAUAUCAAUAAGCGGAGGA